UAUGUUUUUAAUUAAAGCCCUUUGGAAAGAAACAAAGGAAGCCCCGAAAAAUCUCUUGUGAAUGCUAGCUCAAGGCAGGUGCCAGAAGCCAGGGUUGGGAACCACUAAGACACAGGGCCACAGAUUUGACUUUCUAAAGGAUUCCUGCUGUGGCGGGUUUCUUCAUUUCCUGUUUCAGAUCUGGUCUGGCAGUCCCAGGCCUGUGGCAAUGGCAAAGGCCCGCUUGAAUCCUGGCCUGCGUCUGAUGGCAGCAUUGGCAAAUCUUGACUCUGUACUUAGGGAAUUUUUUAAGCUGGUGUUUUGUGAGUACAAUUGAUUGAAUUGUGAGUAAGCCCAUUGAUUCAUUGGUUCAUUCAACAACUAACCCUUGAGCACCGAUUUGCACCAGGUACUGUUCUAGGCUCUGGCACACAAGUUUGGAUAAAGUAAGCUUUGUGUCCAUUUUCCCUCUGAGCUGAGUCCUGUACCGUCUUAUAGGACAGAAUCCAUAAGGAAAGGGGCCACCAACAUUCCCAAGGCCAGGACAAGGUGCUUGUCUGGAAGGUGGCCUCAUACAAGGAUUAGUACAAGGGGGUGUGCUAGAAACUCCACCUGAGUUUCUCAUUUAAAUUUGCUUUAUGUUCGUUUUACAAAUGUAGAGAGUGAGGCCCAGGGAGGUUAAGUGGCUUCCUCAAAGGCAUAGAUCUGGGGGCACCUGGGUGGCUCAGUGUGUUAAGCCUCUGGCUUCGGCUCAGGUCAUGAUCUCAGGGUCCAGGGAUCGAGCUCCGCAUUCGGCUCUCUGCUCAGUAGGGAGCCUGCUUCCCCCUAUCCUGCCUUCCUCUCUGCCUGUGAUCUCUGUCAAAUAAAUAAAUAAAAUCUUAAAAAUAAAUAAAUAAAAGGCACGAAUCUGGGAAUAGCGAGUCUAGGAUUGGAACCCCAGCAGCCUGCCUCAGGGGACUGCCUUGCAGAAUACCAUGCUUUCCUGCUUCUUGUGAAGAUGUAAACCAUUUGGGUGGCUGGAGAGAGACAGAGGAUAGAGCUCAUUUGAUUCAUGGACCUUGUGAAAGGCUUUUGCUAUGAGACCACCCGGUGUUUUCUCUUUGUGCACAAGGGUUUUUUUGUUUUUGUUUUUGUUUUCUCAAAUUCUGGUUUCUGUGCAUAUAACUAACAAUAAAGACUUUUGAUAAUUACAUGGAUCGAGUUAUUUUGGACUCCAUGCUAAAAUACGUAGAGUCCUAGAAUUGGAAGAAAAUUAGAAAUGUAUGUAUUAUCACAUAUAUACAUAUGAUACAUGUUUCUGUGAUUGUAGAUUGCAAGCCACUGAUAAGUUAAGAAAUCAGUUUAGUGGGAUCAAGGCCAACCUUUUAAAAACAUAAAAUGAAAUUCAAUAGGAAAACCAAAGAAAACAGGAGCUAUUGCUUUGCCCCUUCUUAUAUUUUAGCUUCCAUGAAGGCUCCUGUAUUGGUCAGAUUAGGUUAGACUAUGCUGUAGUAACAAACCCUAAAAUGUCAAUAGCCUAACACAGUACAAGUGUACUUGUCAGCCAUCUCAGAGACAUCUCCCAGCCCCAUGGAACAGGGAGAGAAAGGAUGAUCACCAGGACAUUUAAUAAACAUGUAAGUGAUGAAUAUCCCUUCUGCCCAUAGUCUGUUGAGUAGAGCUCAGUUGUGAGGUCAACCGCAGAGGAGGCUGAGAAAUGUUGAGAGGUACCCAGGUAUGGAGGAGCGCUAAUGGUCUAACUCAUGUCUUCCUUACUGUCCCUUUUUUUCUUUAUCAGAACACCCUGUUGUUGCCCUUGGAACACUUCCUUACAUCGGUCACACACACAUAUGUGAAGUUAUUUGCCCAUCUGUUUUUCUGCCUGUUGUCAUUCUUCCUUUCUCUCUGGACUGGGGAUUGUCAAAUUAUCACCUGCAGGCCAAACCAGGCCUGUGACCUGUUUUUGUAGAGCUGCGAGGAACAGUUUUACAUGUUUUCAUGAGUUGCAAAAGAAGGGGGAGAAGGACAAAAAAGAGAGGAAGAAUUACUCACCAAAGAGAUAGUCUGUGAACCAUAGGCCCUAAAGUAUUUACUGUUUGCCUUUUCAUAGAGAAAUUCUGCAAACUCCUGCUCUAGAUGGUGAGCGUCUGGAGGGUAGACAUGGAGUCUCUUUGCUUCCCACGCUAUCCACAGAGUGAGUCUGAUACCUGGGGCCCCUGGAUGGCUCAGUCAGUGAAGCAUCUGCCUUCGGCUCAGAUCGCGCGUGAUCUUGGGGUCCUGGGAUCAAGCCCUGUGUCAGGCAUCCUGCUCAGCGGGAAGCCUGCUUCUCCCUCUGCUCCUCCCCCUACCCUCCUGCUCAUGUACACAUACUCUUUCUCUCAAAUAAAUAAAAUCUUCAUAAAAAAU
This is a long non-coding RNA of Mustela lutreola (European mink), 2364 nucleotides long. RefSeq lists it as uncharacterized. The transcript is spliced from 2 exons. The record is from RefSeq and is a predicted model, not a curated record. NCBI's taxonomy places the organism in Eukaryota, Metazoa, Chordata, Mammalia, Carnivora, Mustelidae.